RNAcentral lists this ribosomal RNA (253 nucleotides) under uncultured bacterium. RNAcentral describes it as "partial 16S ribosomal RNA". It matches the Rfam family "Bacterial small subunit ribosomal RNA", at positions 524 to 776 of the family's 1533-position model. The record is from RNAcentral.
UACGGAGGGUGCGAGCGUUGUCCGGAUUUAUUGGGUUUAAAGGGUGCGUAGGUGGCUUUUUAAGUCAGUGGUGAAAUACAGCCGCUCAACGGUUGAGGUGCCAUUGAUACUGAAGAGCUUGAAACAAGUGGAGGCUGCCGGAAUGGAUGGUGUAGCGGUGAAAUGCAUAGAUAUCAUCCAGAACACCGAUUGCGAAGGCAGGUGGCUACGUUUGAUUUGACACUGAGGCACAAAAGCAUGGGGAGCAAACAGG